UACCAGCACCCCGAGUGGUCGGGACGUUUUAUUGGGCCUAAAGCAUCCGUAGCCGGUUCUACAAGUCUUCCGUUAAAUCCAACUGCUUAACAGGUGGGCUGCGGAAGAUACUAUAGAGCUAGGAGGCGGGAGAGGCAAGCGGUACUCAUGGGUAGGGGUAAAAUCCGUUGAUCCAUUGAAGACCACCAGUGGCGAAGGCGGCUUGCCAGAACGCGCUCGACGGUGAGGGAUGAAAGCUGGGGGAGCAAACCGGG
This 254-nucleotide ribosomal RNA is filed under the name uncultured bacterium. Its description in RNAcentral is "partial 16S ribosomal RNA". It matches the Rfam family "Archaeal small subunit ribosomal RNA", at positions 474 to 728 of the family's 1478-position model. The record is from RNAcentral.